AUAGAGGUGGCUCAGUGGUAGAAUCCUUGCCUUCCAUGCAGGAGACCUGGGUUGGAUUCCUGGCCAAUGUA
This 71-nucleotide transfer RNA is filed under the name Loxodonta africana (African savanna elephant). It matches the Rfam family "tRNA". Rfam says of the family: Transfer RNA (tRNA) molecules are approximately 80 nucleotides in length. Their secondary structure includes four short double-helical elements and three loops (D, anti-codon, and T loops). Further hydrogen bonds mediate the characteristic L-shaped molecular structure. tRNAs have two regions of fundamental functional importance: the anti-codon, which is responsible for specific mRNA codon recognition, and the 3' end, to which the tRNAs corresponding amino acid is attached (by aminoacyl-tRNA synthetases). tRNAs cope with the degeneracy of the genetic code in two manners: having more than one tRNA (with a specific anti-codon) for a particular amino acid; and 'wobble' base-pairing, i.e. permitting non-standard base-pairing at the 3rd anti-codon position. Lineage: Eukaryota; Metazoa; Chordata; Mammalia; Proboscidea; Elephantidae. The record is from Rfam by way of RNAcentral.